AUAUCAUCAGCAAAAUAUUAAAGGCAUUGGACAACCUCAGCAAAAGGGAGCUUUUGACAGAACAAGGCGACGCAAUAACCUUUGAAUCUGAGAUGGACCGGACUUACCUUGGAUCGCCCAAAGUGGAAGCAUUUCUUCACCAUGAACAGCAAAAAAACAUAUGUUAUUGGAAAAUAAAGACCUGCGGAUACGUUAUAUGAAAACCAUGGGAGAAGAAAUUGAAAACCAUGGUGGAUUUUGGGGACGAUGAGUACAAAAGCAUACUUUGUGUGGAUGGUGCCGCAAUUGAAAGACCAAUUACUUUAAAGCCAUGAGAAGGCCGACAAUGUUAACCGCUAAGUCCAGUUUCUUUUUUGAUCACUUGAACUACAGAGCAAAAGAUUCUGAUUCAGUGUCUUUUAGAAUCUCAUCCUAAAGAAUAUUACGUUUAUUCCAUUGCAUGGUCUCUGCCGACUUUUGUACUGCAACAUUGGAAAAGCAGAAUCAUCAUUUCUUCUCUACUUUCUUUACAUGCUGUUCUCAUUUUCUCAAUAGAGAAGUUUUGUAAGCCAUGAGUUCUUAGACCGGUCUUGGUGAUGUAGAGACAAAACAAAAAUGCUCUGUUUUCUAUCUAGGAAACGGCUAAUGUAUGAAAUUAUAGAUAUA
Molecule: long non-coding RNA, 645 nt
Organism: Brassica oleracea var. oleracea
Lineage: Eukaryota; Viridiplantae; Streptophyta; Magnoliopsida; Brassicales; Brassicaceae
Exons: 3
Source: RefSeq, a predicted model, not a curated record